RNAcentral lists this unclassified non-coding RNA (345 nucleotides) under soil metagenome. Its description in RNAcentral is "partial contains 5.8S ribosomal RNA, internal transcribed spacer 2, and large subunit ribosomal RNA". The stretch from base 1 to 120 matches the Rfam family "5.8S ribosomal RNA", at positions 35 to 154 of the family's 154-position model. The record is from RNAcentral.
GAUGAAGAACGUAGCGAAAUGCGAUACGUAAUGUGAAUUGCAGAAUUCAGUGAAUCAUCGAGUCUUUGAACGCACAUUGCGCCCCCUGGUUUUCCGGGGGGCAUGCCUGUCCGAGCGUCAUUGCUGCCCUCAAGCACGGCUUGUGUGUUGGGCCUCCGUCCUCCUCCCGGGGGACGGGCCCGAAAGGCAGCGGCGGCACCGCGUCCGGUCCUCGAGCGUAUGGGGCUUCGUCACCCGCUCUUGUAGGCCCGGCCGGCGCUUGCCGACACAUCAAUCUUUUUUCCAGGUUGACCUCGGAUCAGGUAGGGAUACCCGCUGAACUUAAGCAUAUCAAUAAGCGGAGGA